GCCCACUGCUUUUCGACUGAAGCUGUCCAGUCACUUAAAAAAAAAAAGUAAUAAUUUUCCCACUCUCCACCCCUGCAACUGCUAAAUCUCCAGAUAGAAACAACCCCUCCAGGAACGCUACCCUCCAGGUUCUGAGAGCCCCUCCCUGGGUGCCCACUGCACGCAUGCUCUCUUCCUUCAAGAUGCUUGUUUACCAUUUCAACUUCCCUACUGCUCACUCGUGGACAUCCAGCGGGAGGAGCCACUUCCAUGUAUCAUGAUGUCGGAGGCCCCAAUGCAGGACUAUAAACAUCUCUCAAAUCUAUGCACCUCUUGCCUCCAAACCCCCCAAAGAAGGACCAAAACCACUAGGAGACAACAGUUGAAUGCCCAGCGGCCUCCACCUGCUACCAAGAUCCAUCCAAAGCAGCUGGAAUGAUCCUUCUAACAAUCACAUCAGGCCGUUUCACCGCCUGACUUAAAGCCCAUUGACUAAGGUGGUAGAUGCACUUGAAAUGAACCCGGAAGUACUUAUCAAAGCCAAGGGAAAAGCAGUGGCACUAGCCAAGGAGGAGAGACAUAUCAGGUUCCUCCUCGAGCCGAACAGCAGUGAUCUGUAGAAAAGUCCACCACACGGUCAAGUCCCUAAAAGAAAGUGAUGAGAAACAGCUUGCCAUCGCCUGGAAGCAUACGAGCUCAGAAAUGGAAUGUGGCUGUCGCUCAGGCCAGUGGCUUCCAGACAUUCUCCAGACACUUGACAGUGGCAGAAUUCUGUGCCAGGAGCUCCAGCCAGCCCUCCCAUCCCUGGCCCCCAGCCCCAUUCCUACCCACAUUCUCACCUCUACACCCACCUGAACCCUAUUCCUGCCCCACUCUUGUCUCCACUACUUUCUUCUCCCUAUCCCCACACCCACUCCAUCCCCACCCUCACCCCAACACCCACCCCCCACCUCCAGCCCCCACUCCUUGCACUGGAGGGUUGCAUUUGCCUGCUUCCAAAUGGACCCAACUUAAAGACAAAUGGCCCAGCAUGUUUGAGUGACUUUGCUCCUAGGCCCACAGACCUUAGGGAUCAUCUAGCAGUAACGUUUUUCACGCUCCUGCUCUUCCUACUGCUCCCUCAGAUGUGCUGUCCAUUCUAAAUGGAGCCAUUUCCUGUUCAUCAGCGCGUGCACCUUGAUUUGUGCACACCUGCCCCGCUUCCGCUGAGCUCAUUGCUCCUCAUCGUUUUCCAUAACCGCAUCCAUGUGUAGCAGUCUAGGAGGUGGGUGUGGAUAAAAGCCAGAGGCUGCUAGUUCUGAGGCUCCAUGCUUGGUCCAGGCCUCCUGAGGGGUGAGAGGAAACUUACCUAUAAGACAUUCCUGGAACAAUCUUGGGCUAGAACCCCUUAGGCUCCACAUUUCUCCAGAGGAAGGUAAGAAGGAAAGACUUUGGGUCUGAUUACCUUCUAACAAAACUCCAUCUUUCUUCUGCUUUCUAACACUGCUUGGGAUCCAGAUAUGAGGUUUACUUAUUUUUAUUUUCUGUGUGAGUGUGUGUGUGUCUGGUUCCGUUGGAGGCCAGAAGGGGGGGCUAUACCCCUCAGAACUGGAGCUGCAGGUGAUUGUGAGCCACCACGUGCACGCUGAGAACCUGUCCUGUGCACGAGCAACAAGCACUCUUUAUCCUAGAAUCAAACCACACAUUCUCUGGGGUUAAGGAUUUUGUACCUUGAAUGAGGCUGUGUGUUCAACAAGAUCCUGUGAUAGUAAGAUUAUUUUCACUGUACAAAAUUUUUUUAGCAUCUCUUCAGCCAAGUCCCCAUCCCAAAAGGUUGUCAUGGAAGUGAGACUGAUUAAAUUAUGUAUUUCAUUAAUAUUGUCGGAGGAAAACCAAAUAGCUGUGAUCAAAGUGUGGGCAGUGUCUGUGGAAAAAGUAUAUUUUCCUUUCUCUAGACAAUAAACAGGAUUCACCAAACAGAGAAAAAAAAAAAAAGUGCUACCCAGGUGGGCAGUGCCACUGAGGUGGGAAGUCUCAAGGCUCACCAAAGAAAGAAUAGGUCUGCCCUGUGGUUUGCCAGAGAAUCUUGGCCAUGAAAGUUGGGGCUUACUAGAGACCCAGGGCAGCCUAGACUACAGAAGCUUUCGAGUCUUAUAGUAGCGAAGCUGGACUCUAUUCUAUGUUCAUUCCUAAAACAAGUCAUUAGACUCCUACCAGGUGCUAGGCAGCAGUCAUCACUGGGGAUAUAAUUUUACGAUUGCAAUGGGGAUGGGGAAGGGAUUUAAAGUGUCCCAAGUGCUACUACAGAUGUGUUAGAAAUAGAUAAGAAGCGGGCAGGUGCAAUAAACUCUGUAGAGACUAGGAGAAACUUCAAGAAGGGGACUGAAGUGCUAAGAAAUUAGGACUUUGGGGCCAGAGAUGUGAUUAGAGGUAUAUUUUCUGCAGAUUUGACCCCUCACACUAUCAUGUGCUUCGGUUUGGAGGAAUGGAGCAAUAGGAGACAAGAGAUCCACUUAAGAAGCCAUUGCAAGGUCCGGGAGAGAGAAGAUGAGAGUUAGGAAAGAAAGAUUGAAGUGAAAGACAUGGGUGGACUUGGCUGUUCCAUGUGCGAGGAGGGUAAUGAAUACAGUGCAUAAUAACUACCCACAGCUACGGCUAAUUCACACAAUUAGCUGAGGAUGCCAAACACAGGUCAAUGUCUCUGCCAGUAUACUGAAGUAUUCCAAAAUACUGAUGUAUUCCAGAUGUUGGGACUGUUACAACUUCUUUUGUCUCUGUAUUAAUGAGCUGUCAUAUUAUCCACUCAAUCUUAAAGAAAUAAAUCCUCUAAGUAUGGCCCUUUGAAGCACA
Psammomys obesus (fat sand rat) is the source of this 2808-nucleotide long non-coding RNA. RefSeq lists it as uncharacterized. The record is from RefSeq and is a predicted model, not a curated record. Lineage: Eukaryota; Metazoa; Chordata; Mammalia; Rodentia; Muridae. The transcript has 4 exons.